Paramuricea clavata is the source of this 1864-nucleotide non-coding RNA. The record is from the annotation of a GenBank genome assembly. Lineage: Eukaryota; Metazoa; Cnidaria; Anthozoa; Malacalcyonacea; Plexauridae.
GAGAGCAAAUUUUGAAAGAUAUGUAGACCAAAUAGCUCAAAAUGUUAUAGCGAUUCGAAAUAUUUAGAAAAUUUAAACUAGGAUCAAAGUUAUCGGUCAGUGAAAAUCGAAAAAUCGCGUCGCGUUGUCGAAUCGUAUCCGGACCUUGAAAGGCUAAAUGGCUCGCAUGCAGAUAUGCAACUUGAUUAAAGAAGGUUGGUAAAGAAUUCCCGCGAGCUGCACGCACUGUAUAAUUGUGUGAAUCGAAGUUCGGUGAAAGACAAUGCACUAACUGUCAGUGCCACCAAUACUCGACAAACCAUAUAGUUUUUCUGGUCAGGGGUAAAUGAUUUUUUCAACCGAGGAAAAAACACCUAAAAUGCUGUAAAACUACUAAAUUAAUGCAAUAGAAAACGUAUGAAUACUCGACUUUAAUGUGGGUUACACUUAGCCUGCGUGCGUUAUACCAAUACACCCUUCCAGAAAGUACGUACCUUGGCCACAGAGUCUCGUUUUCGUGCGGCGUUAGUUAAGGCCCUGUUACACGGUGCAAUUUUUCAUGCAACUUGUCUCGCAAUGGCGUUGCGAGACAAGUUGCACGAGUCAUUGCACCCUUUAACAUGCCUUGCAAUGGUCAAAAUCGUUGCGAGACAAGUUCCAUGAAGCAUUGCAGAGAGUAGAAGUCGGUUCUACUUUUGGCAACGAUGGCACUAAUUAUUUUUAGCAUUGCAGCGUGUAACAUGGCUUCGUGCGACUUGUCUCGCAAUGUUUAAAGGUUCGGUCACACGGAGCGACAAGUCGCAGGGGCAUGUUGCAGGGACAUGUCGCCCGAAACGAGUCACACGAAGCGACAAUGCUAGGCGAAAACAAGUCGCACAAGCGCUUACAGGCGCGUGGUCACACGAGGCGACAAUUCAUGCGACAAGUCAAAGAACUCCCAUGAGGACUUAUAUUGAAAUUGAGCGCGCAAGUAGUCAUGGGAAUGAUAUUUUGUGAUUGGUCGGACUAAUUAUUUCCCCGCGACUUGUGAACAGACUAGCUCACACGAUGCAACAAGUCGCGGCAACGGUUUUUGUCCCCGCGACACGUCGCAUGAAAUCAAAUCAAUUUGAUUUCAUGCGACAUGUCGCGGGGACAAGGUCCCCGCGACAACGCUUACACAUGUGACACACGAUGAAAUUCGACCCCGCGACAUGUCCCUGCAACAUGCCCCUGCGACUUGUCGCUCCGUGUGACCGAACCUUAAUGCUUGGAGAGUUCCUAUUGGCUCUCCCCAGUACACGCUUUAAUUAAAAUUUGGCGCCAAAUUGCGCCUCUCCCUAUUCUCUUCGCAUGCCUGUCCCUUGCAGCGUGUAACACCUCUUGCAAUGCAUUAUCAAAAUCUUUUUUUAAACAUUGCGAGACAAGUUGCAUGAAAAAUUGCACCGUGUAACAGGGCCUUUAAAGUCCAACGUUGCAAUCAUGAAAUCGAGGCUCUAUUGCCAAGGUGACGAACUUUCCGGAAGCGUGUAUUAACCGAAGCAGUUCGCGCCGCCAAACCUUCGUGAACUGCAACAGUAUUACUCAUAUCAGUCUUCGAAGGAGCUAGGAGAACCAUAACUCCCCCUCAGGUAAGUUCUUCCGGGGAAAUACAAUAUCAGCGACUUUCGCAACAAACACAAGAAGGCAUGAUUCGUUAAGGACCAUUGCCCGCAAAGAUUUCGCUAUUCUACCUACCCUCCAUUAUUAAUCGUGGCACUAUCUGUAAGCAUUUUGUGUAAAAGAUCGUUUCGUGCACUCCGAGCCGUACACAAGGCGAAAAGAACACAGCUCUAGGAUAAUAAUUUAGGCCGCGUUUACACUAUGACGCUACGGCUAACACUCCGUUAAAAAUUUACUACGUUUC